GGCGGCGUGCUUGAUAAUGCAAGUCAAGGAGAACAUUAUCUUCGGAUAAUAAGUAAACUGGCGAACGGGUGAGUAACGCGUAAACAACUUGCCUCAGAGAUUGGGACAACAUUGGGAAACCAGUGCUAAUACCAAAUAAUGCAGCGGGCUCUUCGGAGCACAGUUGUUAAAGUAGGCUUCGGCUUACACUUUGAGAUAGGUUUGCGUCCGAUUAGUUAGUUGGUAGGGUAAAAGCCUACCAAGACCAAGAUCGGUAGCUGGUCUGAGAGGAUGAUCAGCCACACUGGAAUUGAGAUACGGUCCAGACUCCUACGGGAGGCAGCAGUAAGGAAUUUUGCACAAUGGGCGAAAGCCUGAUGCAGCAACGCCGCGUGAACGAUGAAGUUUUUAGGAAUGUAAAGUUCUGUCGUAUGGGAAGAGAUCUUUCGAAUGUUAAUACCAUUCGUUAAUGACGGUACCAUACAAGAAAGCACCGGCUAACUUCGUGCCAGCAGCCGCGGUAAUACGAGGGGUGCUAGCGUNGUCCGGAUUUACUGGGCGUAAAGGGUACGUAGGCGUUUUAAUAAGUUGUAUGUUAAAUAUCUUAGCUUAACUAAGAAAAUGCAUCCAAAACUGUUAAAAUAGAGUUUGAGAGAGGAACGCAGAAUUCAUGGUGGAGCGGUGAC
This 665-nucleotide ribosomal RNA is filed under the name uncultured bacterium. Its description in RNAcentral is "bacterial SSU rRNA". It matches the Rfam family "Bacterial small subunit ribosomal RNA", at positions 38 to 685 of the family's 1533-position model. The record is from RNAcentral.